This 646-nucleotide ribosomal RNA is filed under the name Fusarium acuminatum. Its description in RNAcentral is "SSU rRNA". It matches the Rfam family "Bacterial small subunit ribosomal RNA", at positions 346 to 937 of the family's 1533-position model. The record is from RNAcentral. Lineage: Eukaryota; Fungi; Ascomycota; Sordariomycetes; Hypocreales; Nectriaceae. RNAcentral also lists the same sequence under 1 other name.
UUGGAGAAGUGGCAAGUCUUCCAGUAUGGGGAGCAAACAGCUAUGGGUCAAGCCCGACAUCUUUAGGAGAAGUCUUAUUGUGAGGGCGAGUUGUAAAACACCAUAGGGCUGGCCGUCCCAUAUGAAAAGAUUUUAUUAGAAUUGAAUGAAACUUUGUUUAUAUAUUGAUAAUGACAGUAUAUAUAUCGUGUCUUGACUAAUUGCGUGCCAGCAGUCGCGGUAAUACGUAAGAGACUAGUGUUAUUCAUCUUAAUUAGGUUUAAAGGGUACCCAGACGGUCAAUAUAGCUUAUAAAAUGUUAGUACUUGACUAGAGUUUUAUGUAAGAGGGCAGUACUUGAGGAGGAGAGAUGAAAUUUCGUGAUACCAAAGGGACUCUGUAAAGGCGAAGGCAGCCCUCUAUGUAAAAACUGACGUUGAAGGACGAAGGCACAGAGAACAAACAGGAUUAGAUACCCAAGUAGUCUUUGCAGUAAAUGAUGAAUGCCAUAGGUUAGAUUAAUAGUUAAUGUAUAUAGGCUAGUAUAAUAGACUAUACAUUAAAAAUUAUUUGGUCUAUAAAUGAAAGUGUAAGCAUUUCACCUCAAGAGUAAUGUGGCAACGCAGGAACUGAAAUCACUAGACCGUUUCUGACACCAGUAGUGAAG